UGGGGAAUAUUGCGCAAUGGGUGGAAGCCUGAUGCAGCGACGCCGCGGGGGGGAUGACGGUCUUCGGGUUGUAAAACUCUUUUGACUUCGACGAAGCAUUCGGGGGACGGUAGGGGUGGAAGAAGCACCGGCCAACUACGGGCCAGCAGCCGCGGUAACACGUAGGGUGCGAGCGUUGUCCGGAAUUAUUGGGGGUAAAGAGCUCGUAGGCGGUGUGUCGCGUCGGCCGUGAAAACCUGUGGCUUAACUAUGGGCUUGCGGUCGAUACGGGAAUCACUGGAGUUCGGCAGGGGGGACUGGAAUUCCUGGUGUAGCGGUGAAAUGCGCAGAUAUCAGGAGGAACACCGGUGGCGAAGGCGUGUCUCUGGGCCGAUACUGACGCUGAGGAGCGAAAGCGUGGGGAGCGAACAGG
RNAcentral lists this ribosomal RNA (412 nucleotides) under Bacillota bacterium. RNAcentral describes it as "Firmicutes bacterium partial 16S ribosomal RNA". It matches the Rfam family "Bacterial small subunit ribosomal RNA", at positions 355 to 776 of the family's 1533-position model. Lineage: Bacteria; Bacillati; Bacillota. The record is from RNAcentral.